ACGAACGCUGGCGGCGUGCUUAACACAUGCAAGUCGAACGGAAAGGCCCUGCUUUUGUGGGGUGCUCGAGUGGCGAACGGGUGAGUAACACGUGAGUAACCUGCCCUUGACUUUGGGAUAACUUCAGGAAACUGGGGCUAAUACCGGAUAGGAGCUCCUGCUGCAUGGUGGGGGUUGGAAAGUUUCGGCGGUUGGGGAUGGACUCGCGGCUUAUCAGCUUGUUGGUGGGGUAGUGGCUUACCAAGGCUGUGACGGGUAGCCGGCCUGAGAAGGUGACCGGCCACAUUGGGACUGAGGUACGGCCCAGACUCCUACGGGAGGCAGCAGUGAGGAAUGUUGCACAAUAAGCGGAAGCCGGGUGCAGCAACGCCGCGUGCGGGAUGACGGCCUUCGGGUUGUGAACCGCUUUCGCCUGUGACUAAGCGUGAGUGACGGUAAUGUGUAAAAAAGCACCGGCUAACUACGUG
This 467-nucleotide ribosomal RNA is filed under the name uncultured bacterium. Its description in RNAcentral is "partial 16S ribosomal RNA". It matches the Rfam family "Bacterial small subunit ribosomal RNA", at positions 29 to 507 of the family's 1533-position model. The record is from RNAcentral.